AGCUUGUUUAGGCCACACAACGGUUUGAUACGCCAAUGGCCCUUGUGAUUUUGAAUCGUGAUUACUUUGAAAGAGUUUGGUACAAGACACAAAUGUUCAAGGUAGUAAGGUGUGGAUAUCGUCCUACUUAAUUCAUCCGCGAACAAUGCUCUACGGGAUCGGUAUCAUCGUCGGGAUUAUCAUCACCAUCAUAAUUAUUCAUGGACCGUCAUCAUAAUCAUUUUCAUUGCAUCUUCAUCAUCGCCAUCACCACCACCACCACCAUCAUCAACAAUAUUGAACCCUUCAAAUAUUCGAGACUUUUUGCUCUUACAUUUUUAUUGAUUAUUUGGUGAUGAGAUAAUCGAAUCGUGACUAAUUGAGAGAAAAUGAGAAAUUCUGAUUUCCAAUAUUCCUUAAAAGAGGUCACUCAUAACUUGAUGAUCGAUGUUCGUCAGAAACCACGCCAUUCAUCAUCAUCAUCAGCGCAUCAUUCUACUUUCACGAAACAGAUAUCAUUUCAUAUUACAAAAUUGGUAAAAUUGGCGUUAUGCCAAAAGCAUAAAAUUUGAAAACAAUUUAAACAACAAUCAGGUACACUUUAAUUAUUUUAAUAAGUUAUUAUUUUCUUAUUAAUAUUAAGGUCAAAUUAGCAAAUUGGUCCUUGGUCAGAUUAUGCUUAAAAUUGGUUCAAUUAUUAUCAACUCAAGUUAUCUCAUUAUUGUAAAAAAAAAAAGUUUCGCCAUGUUUCGUAAAGAGAACAUUAUAUCAGUGUGUUUUUAAAUUUGGAUAUCUUCCUGUCAGAAUACAUGUGCCAUUUUAAACGUUUAACUAUUUAUGUAUAACCAGUGCAAUACUUCACCAUACACGUAUAUGCAUAUAUUAUAGUUAUACCGAAUUUUAGAUUAGCAUGAAGACAUUAUUUUAGAUAAGAUGUAGUUGUAAAUAUUGUUCAUAUGUAUAUUAAACAAAGUUCUGAAAUUAGGGCAAAGAUGACAUCAUCGAUUCUCAGUCUAUUAGAAUUGGAAGUCAAAAGGUGGAUUGUAACAUUUAGAUACAUCCUUAGUGUUUUUAGUUUGAUCGCGAAAACCGAAUUCGGUGCCCUAUUUACCGAGUGAAUGCUUCAUGCGUCUGUCAGGGAUGACGCCGCAGUAUAUACAGGGGGAUAUGGGGCGCGGGAUAGUUAAGACACCUACCCCCUUCAAAAUAUCCUUGCGCCGCCCAGGUGCGCCCCAGUUUUAACAAGAUUUUUAAUUGGAAUUUUAAUAUAUAAACGUCACAGUUUAAAAAAAAAUAAUCAUUUUCACGCUGCCCUUUGAUUAAAACUAAUCUGCUCGGAAGGGUCCAUUGUUUUACUGAUGAUAUACAUAUGGAAGACAGAAAUCAGUAUUUUCAAAAUGAUGCUUUCAUUAUAUCUAUGUAUUUUUGUGAAGCUAAUGGAAAUCUAUUUUAGUGUAUGAUAUUCCUUUCAUUUUUUUUUAGACUUUUCUUUCCGAGUUCAGUUGAAUAUCAUAUACUUGAACUCAUCUGCUUGAAACACUUUGUUGCACACCUUUACUGUCCAUGCACUCUUAUCUAUUCGAUUUAAUUUUAUUGAAUUUAUGUAUAAAAAAAACUAUGAUUAUAGGCCUAAGUACGUGAAGAAAACUUGUGAUAUCUUAUUGUAAAAAGAUGUUGACGUCAUAAUGUACUCCAUUAGCAUAAGAUACUAACGACUUGGUCUGAAUGGUUCCUUCCAUGAUAUGUAUAUUGUCUAUUACAUGAACAGAGUAAUAAUAAGCCAAUGUAUGCAUUUUUGGUGAUGUCUCAUCUAAAUAGCUAUGGUAUGAAUAUUAUAGUGGUUUAUAGUGGUUUAUAGUUGCGUUAGAUGAGUAUUUUGUGUGUCAUUUUUCUGCGCGCCAUUUUUUUGACAGUUAGUACUUAGAAUGAAUCUUUUUUAUUUUUGAUCUGACAACAUAUAGUGAAAUAAAUAGAACUCGUAAAUUGAAAUGAUAAAGUCACUCUUGUUUCGAUGUACUCAUUUAAUAUUGUUUAUAUCUUAGCCAUAUAUACGUAAUUACUAUAUUGGUGUCUUAUCAAAUCUUAAAUCACACCUAAAUAGACCCAAAAUUGAUUUGAUUUCUCCCCACAUCAAGAUACCCAGAUAAAUAAUAAAAAAAUAUAUCUGUAAUAAAAUAUAUCAUAUACAUAAAUAAAUAUUUUGUGUUAAUGAUAAUGUACAUACCUGACUUGACAUAAAUUAUGUAUGUGAAAGUAAUUCUAUCGAUUUAGUUGUGAUUAUGGUUGUGGAGAAAGAUGAAAUUUGAUUCGCCUAUCUUAUCUAUCAUUUUUUGUAAAUAACAAUCCCAUUACUUGGCCAUUAUGAUGUAUGAUUAUCAAAUCAAUUUUAAGUAGAAUAUCGACUUGUAAAUUCUUAAGUACGGUAUAUCUGUUCGUCAAUGAAUUAAUCAUGUUAUUGUUGACUUGAAUAAAAUCUUGGAAAAAUA
This is a long non-coding RNA of Lytechinus pictus (painted urchin), 2465 nucleotides long. RefSeq lists it as uncharacterized. Lineage: Eukaryota; Metazoa; Echinodermata; Echinoidea; Temnopleuroida; Toxopneustidae. The record is from RefSeq and is a predicted model, not a curated record. The transcript has 2 exons.